CGGUGAUCCACAAUGCCGCGGUGUGUGAAGAAGGCCUUCGGGUUGUAAAGCACUUUUGUCCGGAAAGAAAUCCUUGGCUCUAAUACAGUACGGGGGAUGACNGUACCGGUAAGAAUAAGCACCGGCUAACUACGUGCCAGCAGCCGCGGUAAUACUGUACGGUGCGAGCGUUAAUCGGAAUUACUGGGCUUAAAGCGUGCKCAGGCGGUUUGCUAAGACCGAUGUGAAAUCCCCGGGCUCAACCUGGGAACUGCAUUGGUGACUGGCAGGCUAGAGUAUGGCAGAGGGGGGUAGAAUUCCACGUGUAGCAGUGAAAUGCGUAGAGAUGUGGAGGAAUACCGAUGGCGAAGGCAGCCCCCUGGGCCAAUACUGACGCUCAUGCACAAAGCCNGGGGAGCAAACAGGAUUAGAUACCCUGGUAGUCCACGCCCUAAACGAUGUCAACUAGUUGUUGGGGAUUCAUUUCCUAGUAACGAGCUAACGCGUAAGUUACCGCCGGANCACCGA
Molecule: ribosomal RNA, 507 nt
Filed under: uncultured symbiont bacterium of Aplysina cavernicola
Lineage: Bacteria
Description: bacterial SSU rRNA
Rfam family: Bacterial small subunit ribosomal RNA
Source: RNAcentral